AAUCUUCUUGCCACUCCUUCAUCUCCCUCUUGCAUCGUUAUGUAGCGUCUUACCCCGCGCUGCCCUUGGCCUCCGCUGCGUCUUGCUUUUCUUGGCUUCGCUUUGUGUCGUCGUGCCUUGCGUAAUGCAUUCCAAGCCUUAAACUCUUCCUCUCGCUCUCCACCCUCCUCACCCACAUGGGCGCGUCAUUUACAUCUUGAGAGCUGCUGUUCGGCUUUUGGCGCAAAAUCGACGCUUGUGUGGAGGAUGAUGAGAGUGCACCGUCAAGCCGUCGGCCAUACAGUCGGCAAUCGAAUUCUCGUGGCCGAAUCCACGCAAGUCAUGAACCUAGCUCCCUCACCUCAAACCCUGCAAGAACUGGCUCCAAUCGGGGGUGAUCACUUCAGUCGCAUGGAGCGCCUCCCACCAGCGGUCCAAAUGCUGAAUCAAGCACGGGGCACCAAUGCGUGUUGAAUGGCUGGAGCUCAUUCCUUGUCCAGCAACCAGAAAUCCAUUCUCAACCUAACCAUGAAGGAGAAGGACUUCUUGCAGGUAAACUAAGAUGAGUAAGGAGAAGGUUGACAUUAACAUCGUGGUCAUCUGCCAUGUCGACUCCGGAAGUCAAGUACCCCCGGUCUCCUUUUCUAAAAGUUGGGAGGAGGAGGCUGCUGAGAUGAACAAGUGCUCCUUCCAGUACGAGUAGGUGCUCAGCCUUCACCGUAGUGAUUUCAUUAAGAACUUGAUUACGGGAACCUCACAGGCUGAUUGAUCGGCGCUCUUUAUCGAUUCGACGACCAGAGGUUUUGAGGACAGUAUCUCAAAGGAUGGUCAAACCAAGGAGCACACGUUAGUUAUUGAUAAUUAAUCAUUGUUACUUGUGAUAUCUCCAUGAUUGUACCAACUCCAUUUUUUUAAAACCAUGAAUGUAUCAAUCCAAAUUUAGAUGAUAGUUAUGCUGA
Non-coding RNA from Physcomitrium patens, 938 nucleotides. The record is from RefSeq and is a predicted model, not a curated record. Lineage: Eukaryota; Viridiplantae; Streptophyta; Bryopsida; Funariales; Funariaceae.